Molecule: RNA transcript, 2640 nt
Organism: Cylas formicarius (sweet potato weevil)
Lineage: Eukaryota; Metazoa; Arthropoda; Insecta; Coleoptera; Brentidae
Gene name: polypeptide N-acetylgalactosaminyltransferase 35A-like
Exons: 10
Source: RefSeq, a predicted model, not a curated record
UCGUGACAUAACCUUAUUUCAAAGUAAGAUUUAUUUUUUUUUAUUACUAAUUUCAAUUACUGAAGAACAAAACAAAAAAUGGUUAGCAUUAACAAGUCAUUUUUAUACGGAAUCGUGUGCGCUUCUACUACCUGGAUAAUUUCUCUAUAUUUAUACUCGCAGUUAACAAAAAAUGUACCAAAUAGAAAUUCAAAAAUGUUCUUGCAAUUUCCUGAAUCAAAUAAUAAUGUACUGCAACACGAAAUUGAUGAGAAGGAAUCGACUAAAAGUUAUUUAACAAAGAACAGUGGGCAUAGAUUUGCUACAAAUCACCUAUUUAAGAAUUUAAGUAUCAGUGUUUUGUCACAAAAACCUGUAAAUAAAUUUGAGGAUGAGUUGAUGGACCUUGGAUUGGUUAAAAAUUUCAAAGAUCAAGAAAUUAAAGAUCAGGGUUAUAAAUUGUAUGCCUACAAUAUCUUAAUAAGUAACAGAUUGAGUUAUCACAGGAGUAUCCCUGAUACAAGACAUUCCUUAUGUAAAAAUCUUUCCUACCCAAAGAGCUUACCAACUGCGAGCAUUAUCAUAUGUUUCUACAAUGAACAUUUGCAUACUCUAAUUCGAACAAUACAUUCAUUAUUGGACAGGACUGGAGAAGCUGUCCUACAUGAAAUCAUUUUAAUAGAUGAUUUUAGUGAUUUGCCCAAGUUGCAUCAGGAUUUGCAACAAUAUUUAUCUAAAAACAAAUUAGAAAAAGUUAAACUAUACAAAACCGAAAGAAGGGAGGGACUCAUUCGUGCUAGAAUAUUUGGAUCUCACAAAGCCAGUGGAGAAGUGUUGGUAUUUUUGGAUAGCCAUAUAGAAGUCAAUGUCAAGUGGCUUCCACCACUUUUAGAGAGAAUUAAGCAGAACAGAUCCAAUGUAGUCAUGCCUAUUAUAGACAUCAUCAACCCUGACACUUUUUUUUAUAGUUCUAGUCCAUUAGUCAGGGGUGGUUUUAACUGGGGACUGCAUUUUAAGUGGGAAAAUCUUCCCAAAGGAACUCUAAACAAAUCUGCAGACUUUGUCAAACCACUAAAAUCUCCAACAAUGGCAGGAGGAUUAUUUGCAAUUAACAGAAAGUAUUUUAUUGAUAUUGGCGAAUAUGAUGCUGGAAUGAAUAUAUGGGGAGGUGAAAAUUUGGAGUUGUCAUUUCGGAUUUGGAUGUGUAAUGGUUCUUUGGAAAUCAUCCCAUGCAGCAGAGUAGGUCAUAUUUUUAGACAUAGAAGGCCUUAUGGGUCACCUGAUGGAGAAGAUACUAUGUUGUAUAAUUCCUUGAGAGUCGCCCAUGUGUGGUUAGAUGAUUAUAAAGAAUAUUUUUUAAGUCAAAACAAACAGGCGAAAAAAAUUAAUUAUGGCGACAUAUCCUCUAGAAUUCAACUUCGCAAAGAAUUGAAGUGUCAAGAUUUUGAUUGGUAUCUCAAGAAUAUUUAUCCAGAGCUGACCUUACCAUCGGACGAUACAGAACGUUUAAAAAAGAAGUGGUCCGCUUUGGAGCAGAAUCAAUUUCAACCAUGGCAUUCAAGAAAAAGAAAUUAUGUCAAUCAGUUCCAGAUUAGGUUAAGGAACACUUCACUAUGCAUUCAGAGCUCCAAAGAUGUCAAAAGUAAGGGGAGCACAUUAAUUUUGAGACCAUGCGUCAGGAGCAAGAAGCAGCUGUGGUAUGAAACUGAUAAGAGUGAAUUAGUCCUUGCACAACUGUUGUGUCUUCAGGCUUCAAAACCGCUACCAAUCUUAUAUAAAUGCCAUGAAUUAGGAGCAGAUCAAGAGUGGAAACACAAAGGAGGAUUUUUUUCUUGUUUUAGGAAGAUUCACCAAUUUACAAUUUGGGUUCAGGAACUUGUCUAGGAGCAAGUAAAAUUGCAGUUAAUGCAACUAUUCAAAUGAAGUUGUGCACAGAUCCAAAACUGAAUGUCUGGGACAUGAUUUAAAGAUUCUCAUGUAAAAAAAAACAGGUUUCCAAAACUUUGAUCUAAAAGCUUUCUCUGGAAAAUUUGGGAUUUCUUCUGACAUUUCAACAUGGUCAAAUAUGAUCACCCUGUAUGAGUCAAAUAAUAUUUUUAUUGCACGGGGAGAGGAAUUACGAGACAAAUACAAGCGGACGGUAAGUUAGAAGUGCAAUUUAUCCUAACGUGUAACACAGAGUGUCUUAAAAAUUAAUUAUAUCUUUUUGUUUACAGAACACCCUGUAUAUUACAAUGUCUUUCCAUCAGGUAACUAACUUUUCAGUCCAUCCGUUUCAGUAUUCCAAGGCAGUUCAUUGAUAUGAAAAAUAAAUACGUUUAAAUUGAUAAUAAUUAGGACACUUUAGUGGAACGAUACAAAGUGGACCAACAAAUUAGCGUUAGUAAAUCAGUAUUCGUUAUUGUCUUAGACUUCAACUUCAAUUUCUUUCUUCUUGUAUCACCUCAAGCAUUUAAAUUUAAGAUUAUAGUUCAUCCACCUUGUAUAACAAAUGGUCCAAGUGGGAAAUGGCACUAUAUUUUUUAACUCGAAAUGAUGUUGACAAGAGGACAAAUCUUAAGUUUUUCUAAUUUUUGUCUAUUCGAGAUCAGGAUUAAACCAAAUCCUUCUAGCACGAUCAUUUAAGAUUUGUCCUAAUUUUAAUGUAAAAUAAAAAAAACA